Molecule: microRNA precursor, 59 nt
Filed under: Homo sapiens (human)
Lineage: Eukaryota; Metazoa; Chordata; Mammalia; Primates; Hominidae
Description: Hsa-Mir-4661_pre stem-loop
Source: RNAcentral
AACUAGCUCUGUGGAUCCUGACAGACAGCCUGAUAGACAGGAUCCACAGAGCUAGUCCA